RNAcentral lists this ribosomal RNA (259 nucleotides) under uncultured bacterium. RNAcentral describes it as "partial 16S ribosomal RNA". It matches the Rfam family "Bacterial small subunit ribosomal RNA", at positions 526 to 779 of the family's 1533-position model. The record is from RNAcentral.
CGUAGGGUGCGAGCGUUAUCCGGAAUUAUUGGGCGUAAAGAGCUCGUAGGCGGUUUGUCGCGUCUGUCGUAGAAAGGUCCGGGGCCUUAACCCCGGAUCUGCGGUGGGUACGGGCAGACUAGAGUGCAGUAGGGGAGACUGGAAUUCCUGGUGUAGCGGUGGAAUGCGCAGAUAUCAGGAGGAACACCGAUGGCGAAGGCAGGUCUCGUGGGCUGUAACUGACGCUGAGGAGCGAAAGCAUGGGGGAGCGAACAGGAUU